GCCGGGGUGGCGGAACUGGUAGACGCGUCGGAUUCAAAAUCCGAUGGCCUUUGGUCGUGAGAGUUCGAGUCUCUCCCUCGGCACCA
Molecule: transfer RNA, 86 nt
Filed under: Chromatiales bacterium
Lineage: Bacteria; Pseudomonadati; Pseudomonadota; Gammaproteobacteria; Chromatiales
Description: tRNA-Leu
Rfam family: tRNA
About the family: Transfer RNA (tRNA) molecules are approximately 80 nucleotides in length. Their secondary structure includes four short double-helical elements and three loops (D, anti-codon, and T loops).
Source: RNAcentral